Oncorhynchus tshawytscha (Chinook salmon) is the source of this 856-nucleotide long non-coding RNA. The record is from Ensembl. Lineage: Eukaryota; Metazoa; Chordata; Actinopteri; Salmoniformes; Salmonidae.
UAUUUAAAAAAAACAAGAAUCAAUGGUUUAUAUGAUGCGGCAAGGCUUAUUCUCACAAUUUCUCUUUCAACACUCUCUCUCUUCCUCUCUCACUUUAAUUGUCAAGUUCUCUCCAUCGCCGCAAGAGGCUUUUUUUUCUGUUCUCUCGAAAAGGGCACUUAGAUACCAACGUGGUGGCAGAGAAGAGAGCGCUUCAGACUGUCCGCGCUGCUCCUGCUAGGACUGCUCCUCAUAGGGGAUCAUAUAUUUUCGAAAAACACAAGUCGGAUAAAAAGGAACAGUCUCUCCCAACUUGCUACCCGAGUCUGCUUUGACAUUUUCCCACGUAAAAAGAGAGGGACUCUGGAAAGCCUUUGGUAACAUCAAAAGAUGGGAAACGGAACCAUAUUUUGGACGUGAGGACUUGCAGUCCCUGCGUUAAAAGGACAAGAUCACCAACAGAACUAAAGCCAACCUAACUAAAGCAGCUGUAAACGUGGGCUUGUAGAGGACGGAGAGUAUCCAUUCUACCACGCUCCAGAUCACCACUAGACAUUCUUCAGAGGACAAGAAAUCCAUGCUGGACAACCCAGCCUUCUAUCUACGACCAAUCUAUCGAAGGGCAGUUCAGAGUAAAUACUGUAUUUAUUGCAUUUUCCUUUUUCAAAUGGGUGGUUAUUUAGAAUGCAUAAGAUACUGUAUUUACGAUAGCAUUGUUUCUUCCUUUGUUACUUUUUCUUCCCGCUCUUUUUCUCUCAAACCCAACCCCCUUUCUUUGUGUAACCAGCCGUCAUAUCUGUUCCAUCCGCUAAGGACAUUUUCCUUUAUGAUAAUGUGUUCAUAAUAAUAAUAUUGAUAAUCAAAUCAAAUUUAUUUA